UACAGAGGUCUCAAGCGUUGUUCGGAUUCAUUGGGCGUAAAGGGUGCGUAGGUGGCGCGAUAAGUCGGGUGUGAAAUCUCGGAGCUUAACUCCGAAAUUGCAUUCGAUACUGCCGUGCUCGAGGACUGGAGAGGAGACUGGAAUUCAUGGUGUAGCAGUGAAAUGCGUAGAGAUCAUGAGGAAGACCAGUGGUGAAGGCGGGUCUCUGGACAGUUCCUGACACUGAGGCACGAAGGCCAGGGGAGCAAACGGG
RNAcentral lists this ribosomal RNA (253 nucleotides) under uncultured bacterium. RNAcentral describes it as "partial 16S ribosomal RNA". It matches the Rfam family "Bacterial small subunit ribosomal RNA", at positions 524 to 776 of the family's 1533-position model. The record is from RNAcentral.